This 253-nucleotide ribosomal RNA is filed under the name uncultured bacterium. RNAcentral describes it as "partial 16S ribosomal RNA". It matches the Rfam family "Bacterial small subunit ribosomal RNA", at positions 524 to 776 of the family's 1533-position model. The record is from RNAcentral.
UACAGAGGUCCCAAGCGUUGUUCGGAUUCACUGGGCGUAAAGGGUACGUAGGCGGUCGGGUAAGUCUGGCGUGAAAUCUCCAAGCCUAACUUGGAAACUGCGUUGGAUACUAUCCGGCUCGAGGAAUGGAGGGGAGACUGGAAUACUUGGUGUAGCAGUGAAAUGCGUAGAUAUCAAGUGGAACACCAGUGGCGAAGGCGAGUCUCUGGACAUUUCCUGACGCUGAGGCACGAAAGCCAGGGGAGCAAACGGG